GCAAGAGUGGCGGAAUUGGCAGACGCGCAAGAUUCAGGUUCUUGUGAUCGAGAGGUUGUGAGGGUUCGAGUCCCUUCUCUUGCACCA
Molecule: transfer RNA, 87 nt
Filed under: Kamagatella elastica
Lineage: Bacteria; Bacillati; Bacillota; Tissierellia; Tissierellales; Kamagatellaceae
Description: Gottschalkiaceae bacterium SANA tRNA-Leu
Rfam family: tRNA
About the family: Transfer RNA (tRNA) molecules are approximately 80 nucleotides in length.
Source: RNAcentral